Molecule: transfer RNA, 75 nt
Filed under: Thermotoga sp.
Lineage: Bacteria; Thermotogati; Thermotogota; Thermotogae; Thermotogales; Thermotogaceae
Also listed under: 2 other names
Description: tRNA-Val
Rfam family: tRNA
About the family: Transfer RNA (tRNA) molecules are approximately 80 nucleotides in length. Their secondary structure includes four short double-helical elements and three loops (D, anti-codon, and T loops). Further hydrogen bonds mediate the characteristic L-shaped molecular structure. tRNAs have two regions of fundamental functional importance: the anti-codon, which is responsible for specific mRNA codon recognition, and the 3' end, to which the tRNAs corresponding amino acid is attached (by aminoacyl-tRNA synthetases). tRNAs cope with the degeneracy of the genetic code in two manners: having more than one tRNA (with a specific anti-codon) for a particular amino acid; and 'wobble' base-pairing, i.e. permitting non-standard base-pairing at the 3rd anti-codon position.
Source: RNAcentral
GGGAACGUAGCUCAGUGGGAGAGCAUCUGCUUUACACGCAGGAGGUCGUAGGUUCAAAUCCUACCGUUCCCACCA